Molecule: long non-coding RNA, 843 nt
Organism: Tribolium castaneum (red flour beetle)
Lineage: Eukaryota; Metazoa; Arthropoda; Insecta; Coleoptera; Tenebrionidae
Exons: 2
Source: RefSeq, a predicted model, not a curated record
AAAUGAUUAAAGGUUUUUGUUUGAUGAUUAUGAGGUUGUUGUUUCUAAUCAAAUACUCUUCAGGAAAUUACCACAGUGAGUAGUUUUAGAAACUAGAAAACACCACUUUGCGAAGAAAACAAAGUUUACCUUAAAUCUUCUCGAAUAAAUCGAAAUGACCCACUUGUAGCUGCAUUUCUAGAAAAUCGGUGAGUCUGACCCACUUGCGAGCACUGUUUCGCUUGUAGUGGAGUAAUUUAAUUUUUGAAAUGAUUUUUAUUCCAUCAUUAAUUUAUUUUGGCGGUGGCGUGAUAAAUUUCGCGAGUGGUAAAGUGGUAAAUGUAAAUCCCUUUUAUCCACGUGCUGGUGGCUCAGAGUGAGCGUUGCCAUCCUUUAUAUAAAACUCCUGUUGCUUCAAGUCUGGUUGUAUUCGCUGAAGCCAACUGUUUAGUGCACCAACUACCAUAAACCACCGCCGUAAUUAAUUGCCUGCUCGCUUGCGAUCCGCAAAGAUGGGGCCGUCCAACAACAUGAAAGCUAUUUGGCUCAUCAUUGCCCUUGUAACAUCGAUUGCGUUCGGAUUAUCUUUACACAAGCCACGGGCGAGUCUGAGUAAUGUGCGAAAUUUCGAUGAGCAGAUCCGAAUGGCUUACCAGCCGGAAGCUGAGGAACCGCUCCGGCCUGGAAGAUUUUUGGAAGACGACACCAGCGACGAUGGCUACGACUUUCACUUUUGAAAUAAACCGGUGAAUCACCCGGAGUAGGUGUCCCGGAAGUCUCGUCUGUUAAUUUAUUUCAUUGUUGUUUUAAAAAUGUGACUAUAAUUAUUUAUGUUUGCGGUUGCAAUAAAAUUUAUAAAAGACA